GGGCGGUUAGCUCAGCUGGUAGAGCGUCGCAUUUACACUGCGAAUGUCGCGAGUUCGAUCCUUGCACCGCCCA
RNAcentral lists this transfer RNA (73 nucleotides) under Candidatus Levyibacteriota bacterium. RNAcentral's name for it is "tRNA-Val". It matches the Rfam family "tRNA". Rfam says of the family: Transfer RNA (tRNA) molecules are approximately 80 nucleotides in length. Their secondary structure includes four short double-helical elements and three loops (D, anti-codon, and T loops). The record is from RNAcentral. Lineage: Bacteria; Candidatus Levyibacteriota.